RNAcentral lists this ribosomal RNA (414 nucleotides) under uncultured microorganism. Its description in RNAcentral is "bacterial SSU rRNA". It matches the Rfam family "Archaeal small subunit ribosomal RNA", at positions 459 to 872 of the family's 1478-position model. The record is from RNAcentral.
CAGCCGCCGCGGUAAUACCGGCGGCCCGAGUGGCGGUCACUAUUAUUGGGCUUAAAGCGUCCGUAGCCGGGUUGGGAAGUCCUCCGGGAAAUCUGGCCGCUUAACGGUCAGAAUGCCGGAGGAUACUCCCAGCCUAGGGAGCGGGAGAGGCCGAGGGUAUUCCCGGAGUAGGGGUGAAAUCCUAUAAUCCCGGGAGGACCACCUGUGGCGAAGGCGCUCGGCUGGAACGCGUCCGACGGUGAGGGACGAAGGCCAGGGGAGCAAACCGGAUUAGAUACCCGGGUAGUCCUGGCUGUAAAUGAUGCGGACUUUGUGUCGGACAAGCUAUGAGCUUGUCCGGUGCCGGAGGGAAACCGUUAAGUCCGCCGCCUGGGGAGUACGGCCGCAAGGCUGAAACUUAAAGGAAUUGGCGGG